This 1693-nucleotide long non-coding RNA is filed under the name Lupinus angustifolius (narrow-leaved blue lupine). RNAcentral's name for it is "long non-coding RNA (LANG_LNC002748)". Lineage: Eukaryota; Viridiplantae; Streptophyta; Magnoliopsida; Fabales; Fabaceae. The record is from RNAcentral.
GGGUCUAACUCUACCACAAAAGUUAACUCGAAUGGCGAGGGUUGUCCAUGUAGGGACAUUUAAUACUUAACACACUCCCACUAGGGUAUGCAGAAAUGGUAGCAAGCAAAUAUUUUUUGCAUAAAAACACAGAACAUCAAGAAAAUUAAGAAUGGAGCAUGGAUGUCCAAAAUCUUUGAGCAUGUGGCAAAAUAUAUUUUUUGAUUGAACUAAAAAGUGAAAAUAUACUGACCUUGUUUGUGUCCACAUCAUGCAUAAUUGCAUCAAUGACUUCAUUGUUCACACCAACCUCAUUAGAUAGGGCUUUACGCAACUCCUCGAUUUCAAUAUAACCACUUUGAUCCUCAUCAAAAUAUUGGAAGGCUUUGUGAAGGUGCUCUUCAUUUCCCAUCUUUCUCAUAUGAACGGAAAUGGUUACAAACUCUCCGUAAUCUAGGUACCCAUCAUUAUCUACAUCACCCUGCAUAAGCAACCCCAAACAUCAGAAGUCGAAGGGUAUAUAUGUUAAUCAAUGAGUUAAGAGAAAUUGUACAUCCAUAUGGCAAUUUUUAUUAUGAAGCUUUUCUGUAAAAGGGAGGAAAUGGCAUUUUUUAUGAUGAAGUUUCUUUUAAGGAAGGGAGGAAACGACACUGGGACAAACAAGAAUGUAUGCUAUUGGCGACUCAUUAGUUCAAACAUUACCCAAAAAAACCUUUUAGCAUUUGCGAAAUAAGCAUUGCAGUUAUGCCAACUAAACUUGCCCAAAUUUGCAUUUAGUUUGACAUAUUGCGAAGACAAUACACUGAAAAAACAAAAGACCUCAAAUUUUGAUAACGGUACUCAUUUUCAACCUAUUAAUUCAGACCAAGGGUAAUAAUAAUACUCACAGCUUCCAUAAUAUUAUUGAUAUCUUCAUCAGGAAGUUGAUGGCCUAGUUUCUGCAUCCCUACUAGUAGUUCAUCCAUAUUAAUCUUGCCUCUGUUGCCUAUAUCCAAAAUCUGGAACCUUUGUUUUAAUCCAGCAGCUUCUUCAACUGACAAAUGCUCGGCAAUCACCUGUUAUGAAAUAAUAAUCGUUAAAAAAAUAAUGACUCGUGAAUUAGAAUCAUGCAUUGAUGAAUAUUUCACAAAUGAAUCUUCAACGGAUAUUUGAAUAUUGUUGCGAACAUUACCCUCAAAGCCACUUUCUUAAGCUUGUUCAUUACAGAAAAUUGCUGGAGCCUUGCUCUAACAGAUUCUCCUAAUGAGACAUUAGGAGCUUUGUACGCAUUUUGUAUCCAUGGAUGAUCUGCGUUGCAUUAACAAGUCAUGUUAACAUACCCAUAUUUCAAUUUUCCAAAUCAUAAAGAAUAAACAAAUAUUAGUUUGCUGAGCAGAAAAUGUUCCAGACAAUCUACACUUUUGUUCAUUUCUCAAAAGCAUUAUAUAUGAAGUGCAUGUUACCUAACACAGCCUGUGCAGUAAGCCGCCGCUUCGGAUCAAAUAUACUGACCUUGUUUGUGUCCACAUCAUGCAUAAUUGCAUCAAUGACUUCAUUGUUCACACCAACCUCAUUAGAUAGGGCUUUACGCAACUCCUCGAUUUCAAUAUAACCACUUUGAUCCUCAUCAAAAUAUUGGAAGGCUUUGUGAAGGUGCUCUUCAUUUCCCAUCUUUCUCAUAUGAACGGAAAUGGUUACAAACUCUCCGUAAUCUAGGUACCCAUCAUUAUCUACA